Molecule: ribosomal RNA, 426 nt
Filed under: uncultured eukaryote
Lineage: Eukaryota
Description: bacterial SSU rRNA
Rfam family: Eukaryotic small subunit ribosomal RNA
Source: RNAcentral
CAAUAGCGUAUAUUAAAGUUGUUGCAGUUAAAAAGCUCGUAGUUGGAUUUCUGGGAGAGUGGCGAUGUCCGCUUAACGUGUGUGCAGCGACGCUCUUCCAUCCUUCUGUUAGCGUCUCUUGGCAUUCAUUUGCUGGUGGCGGGCUCAGAUAUUUUACCUUGAGAAAAUUAGAGUGUUUAAAGCAGGCAUUUGCUAUGAAUACAUUAGCAUGGAAUAAUAAUCUAGGACUUCGGUUCUAUUUUGUUGGUUUCUUAGAUCUGAAGUAAUGAUUGAUAGGGAUAGUUGGGGGUGGCUAGUAUUAAGGGGCCGAGAGGUGGAAAUUCUUGGAUUCUCUUAAGACUAACUUAUGCGAAAGACAUUCACCAAGGAUGUCUUCUUUAAUUCAAGAACGAAAGUUAGGGGGAGUCGAAGACGAUUAGAUACCGU